CCCAUGACAUACCUCACUCACAUUCUACUGAAUAUCAAUGAUUUUUUAAAAAUUAUUUGAUAAAAUUCGAAACUUUAAGUUAAACGGUACUUAAUUCUAAAUUCUUUCUUUACUCAAGGACGAGCAAAGUUCAAGUUGGAAAAUUUUUAUAUCAAUUUUUAUUGAUCCUAUCAAGAUGCUAUCGUUAGGACACCGUAAUUAUCAAUCAAAUUCCGACUUCAAUAAAAAUUAAAAAAUACGUAGAAAGUAGUGAGUC
Molecule: long non-coding RNA, 256 nt
Filed under: Elaeis guineensis (African oil palm)
Lineage: Eukaryota; Viridiplantae; Streptophyta; Magnoliopsida; Arecales; Arecaceae
Description: long non-coding RNA (EGUI_LNC004427)
Source: RNAcentral